AAAGCAAGCAGCAGCUGGAUAUCACUGGAUAUGCGGAUGCAGACUGGGGCAGUGACGACGUAGACCGCCGGUCGUACACGGGCUACGUCUUUAAAAUAGAAUCAUAUAUGCUCGAGCAACAGCUGUCAGGUCAAAGAUUAAGUCACAAAUAAAUAUCCCAAUCACGUAAAAGGAAACGGUGACACAGUUCAGACCCACCUACAUCAAGACAGUCGCAUUUACUGGAUCAUGAUUAUUGUAAAAAAAACAAGAGCAGCUUCCAAUCACCUAAAAGAAAAAAGUUAUCUGCUUCAGAGCCAUCUACAUCGAGACAGUCGCAUUUACUAGACCAUGAUUAUUCUAAAAAAAAGAAGAGCAUCCUCCAAUCACCUAAAAGAAGAAAGUUAUCUGCCAAAGAUUUACAAGUGACACCACGAAAAACAAAAUUAUUAAAAAAAAUUGAUUUCUACAAGCAGAAAAUAACAACAUUGCGUGAAGGAAAUGUAUUGCCGCGCAUUAAAUCAUUAGCUCUGAAGACCUUAAUCACUGCGUAUUUACGCAACAACCGUAGAAAUGCGCGAGGUAA
Cydia splendana is the source of this 565-nucleotide long non-coding RNA. RefSeq lists it as uncharacterized. The transcript is spliced from 5 exons. The record is from RefSeq and is a predicted model, not a curated record. NCBI's taxonomy places the organism in Eukaryota, Metazoa, Arthropoda, Insecta, Lepidoptera, Tortricidae.